UGCAGCUCGGGAAAGUCCACCGCGCCUACAGAGGAAUGUGCAGCCUGUGUGUACGCUGGAGACGCUCUGGAACAGGAAUGCGCUCUGGGCGACGCCGCGGCAAGUGUGCGGCAAAGAACCGCAGCUGCGCCGGAAGUGAGCCAGAAGAACCGGUUGGUCCAGGCUUUCAUGGUCCCAGAUAUUGAGAUCACCUGAGAUCUGCGUUGACAUGGCAACGAGAAUACAAGAAUCACCAGGGGCCGCUAUCUGUAGUAUAGCAGGCGAAGACAUGACUCCCCCACUCUGUCUCAGCUUCCCUUGUUCCGCUGCACCCUCCUCCAUUCAGCUGACACCAGACUGCCAUCACAUUCCACCCUCCACCUGCCUGCAGCCCUGAUUUCUCCCAUCAUUCCCCCCACCUUCCUUCCUUCCCUGUCCCUCCAUCCCACAACCCUCAUCCCCAUCAUCCAUUAUAUGUAAUAAA
Long non-coding RNA from Epinephelus fuscoguttatus (brown-marbled grouper), 463 nucleotides. RefSeq lists it as uncharacterized. NCBI's taxonomy places the organism in Eukaryota, Metazoa, Chordata, Actinopteri, Perciformes, Serranidae. The record is from RefSeq and is a predicted model, not a curated record. The transcript is spliced from 3 exons.